ACCCUUGAAAGAUAAUAGUAA
Molecule: transfer RNA, 21 nt
Filed under: Poroderma pantherinum (leopard catshark)
Lineage: Eukaryota; Metazoa; Chordata; Chondrichthyes; Carcharhiniformes; Scyliorhinidae
Description: partial tRNA-Leu
Source: RNAcentral